AGAAUGUAUAAAGAACUACAAACCAGUAGGGAAAAAGAAUCCUUUUAAAAUAAUGGGUGAAACAAACACUUAAACAGGCAGUUCACAAAAGAAGAAAACAUUAACAAGCCAACUGUCAAAGGUGCUCACCAUCAUUACUCAUCAGGAAAAGCAAAUUUAAACCACACCAGAUACCUUUACGCAUUUUAAAAAGUUAAAAUUGAGAAUGGUGAUAUCAAAUGAUGAGAAGGUACAGAGCAACUAGAACUCUCACACAUUCCACUCUGGAAAACUGUCAGCCUACAACAGAGAAACAUGCAUCUGCCUGAUUUCUUUCCAGAAAUUCCACUCUCAGGCAUGAUAUUCAAGAGAAAUGAGUGAAUAUGUCCAUCAAAAGAGAUAAACAAAUGUAAAUAGGCAGAGUAACUUUAUUUAUAAGUAACCAAAGGUGAAAAUCCCAAAUGCUCAUCAAUUGGAGAAUGGAAAAAGAAAUUGUAGUUGCAAAAUGAAUACAAUUCUUACAUUGGACUGUGCACAG
Molecule: long non-coding RNA, 517 nt
Filed under: Marmota monax (woodchuck)
Lineage: Eukaryota; Metazoa; Chordata; Mammalia; Rodentia; Sciuridae
Source: RNAcentral